GCAAAAUACUCUCUGAUUAUGCUUGAUUUGGCCCGGAUCCAUCCUCAACCAUCUGAUCGCGAUCGGUUGCAAUCCGGACUGUCGAAUCGUAUAAUCCAGCCUUGAACCGUGCGUGGAUUGUGAUUUCGAUCCAUACGACUUCCAUGAGCCACCAGCGCCCCGCGAUCUACAGUGGAUCGUGCGAGCGUUGGGCCUGAGCGCCCCGUGCACACUAGGCCGGCCCAUGUGUGCGC
RNAcentral lists this long non-coding RNA (233 nucleotides) under Elaeis guineensis (African oil palm). RNAcentral's name for it is "long non-coding RNA (EGUI_LNC015546)". Lineage: Eukaryota; Viridiplantae; Streptophyta; Magnoliopsida; Arecales; Arecaceae. The record is from RNAcentral.